GAUGAAGAACGCAGCGAAAUGCGAUAAGUAAUGUGAAUUGCAGAAUUCAGUGAAUCAUCGAAUCUUUGAACGCACAUUGCGCCCGCCAGUAUUCUGGCGGGCAUGCCUGUUCGAGCGUCAUUUCAACCAUCAAGCCCCCGGGCUUGCGUUGGGGCCCUGCGGCUGCCGCAGACCCCUAAAACCAGUGGCGGGCUCGCUGUCACACCGAGCGCAGUAGCAAUAUCUCGCUCUGGGCGUGGCGCGGGUGCUUGCCGUAAAACACACCACUUAACAAGGUUGACCUCGGAUCAGGUAGGAAUACCCGCUGAACUUAAGCAUAUCAAUAAGCUGAGGA
This 334-nucleotide unclassified non-coding RNA is filed under the name soil metagenome. Its description in RNAcentral is "partial contains 5.8S ribosomal RNA, internal transcribed spacer 2, and large subunit ribosomal RNA". The stretch from base 1 to 120 matches the Rfam family "5.8S ribosomal RNA", at positions 35 to 154 of the family's 154-position model. The record is from RNAcentral.